CAGCCCUGUACAAAAACAGUCAUUUCGGUUAUGUGCGGGAUAAUUAAACUGCAAGUGUAGUUACUUUGUUAUUGCUCUGUUCUCAAGUAAUCGUAAAUUUUAAUUGAAUACUAUUGUUCACCUCUUUAAAAUGAUUAGUGACAGUGAACUACUACGACAGACACCCAAAGUAGGGGCGGACCUUUUUUUCUGGAAAGACGACAAUGACGACAUUCACAUGAAUGUCAUGACAGAAGAGGACGUCAAUAGAAAUCUCAGUCAAAUCUACUUUUCUCUACUUGUUGACACGCACGGGGACAUGAGGGACAUGACCGUGAAUAAAGGAGCUGGAGAUGUUUGCCUUGUUAGACAAACAGAGAAUAUCUCCGGUAAGUUUAAAAGUGAAGCCUUGGACCUUGAUGGAUGUAAGGUCAAAGAACUCGAACAACAAUGGGGGUGGAAAGUGGAACCCACGUCAACCUAUUCAUUCCACAUUUAUUCUGAUGAUUCAUGGUUGGCUGACCAAUUGAAAUAUAAAAUUCGGAGGAAGUUUGGAGUCGUUUGCGCUAAUGCGCCGUAUACUGCGGAAGUCGUUCUGGCCAAACACGCCGAGACAAUAGACAACCACCUGAGACAAUUUCUAAAACGGAUACCAGAAAUGAGAGAAGAUUACUUUAAUAACCCCCCUCCCCCCCCACCAGAAAAAUUAGAAAAUCCUCGUCCACUACCACCAACACAAGAGAAAGUAAGGUGUCAUUUGUGAGGUUUGGCCUUUCUUGGACAUGCUCAAACUCUUGCAAAUCACUUACAAUCAAAUCACUACUCUGGGAUCGAUGCCCAUCCAUGUGGUCUGUGUUCAUGCUCUUUUGUGACAGCAGCAUCAUUACGCAUUCAUCGAAACGUUACCCACCCAGGGGCAGAGUCACUAAAAAGAACAAAAUACGGCAUUCCUGAUAUAAAUGAGGAGGACGCAGGUAAAUGCGAUACCCUAUUGCAGAUUGUCCAACAAGAAGGGUCAAAUAGGAAAAAGUUUAAAUGCCUAUGGAGGCGAGAAAACGGAAACGAGUGUGGAAAAGUUACUAUCGGAUUGAAUGACUCACGUGACCACGUCUGCACCCAUUUACAAUUAAAGCCAUACACAUGUCCGGAACCCGACUGCGACUACUCUGCAUCCUUUUUUCAUUCCACGGCCCGCCAUUACGAAAGUCAACAUGGACGAGAAGAAGAAGAGGACAAAGACUCUAGCGACCAAGAUGACGGACCUCCAAAGAAAAAGAUGAAUUCCCCGACUUCUAACCUUUAAAUGCAUCCAACACUAAUGACUGCGAAUCAAAAUCUUUAUUUUCAGGGACAGACGAUUUUAGGCAAUAAGAGUAGUACUAAGAGAUAGUAUAUGGGAAUCAUUUUGUUUUAAUUCGUUCCCAAUCAGCUUUUUUUAGAAUAGUUUGGUUCAAGGUACGAAUAGCAGUCUUUUCUACCAUAAUUUAAGUUUUGUACUCAGCUUUUUGGCCACUCGGUCUAAUAAAAAGUUUCCAGAUAAAUUCAUUGCAUAAAUUUUUAGACCAAAAAUCGACAAACUGCUCCUAAUAAUUACCUUGUCUGGAGUUCCCAUGAUUGAGCAUAUUUUGAACAAUUCGUCAAUUUCACUUGUCCCCGGAAACAAUGGUCGAUAUGUAAACAAUUCUGCAAUAAUGCACCCAACUGCCCAUAUAUCAAUGGGACAAGAAUAAAAAGGAGCCUGUGAUGCAAUAAAUAUUUAGAAUACUAAACCUUUA
This is a long non-coding RNA of Folsomia candida, 1754 nucleotides long. RefSeq lists it as uncharacterized. NCBI's taxonomy places the organism in Eukaryota, Metazoa, Arthropoda, Collembola, Entomobryomorpha, Isotomidae. The record is from RefSeq and is a predicted model, not a curated record. The transcript is spliced from 6 exons.